This 485-nucleotide ribosomal RNA is filed under the name uncultured bacterium. RNAcentral describes it as "partial 16S ribosomal RNA". It matches the Rfam family "Bacterial small subunit ribosomal RNA", at positions 28 to 507 of the family's 1533-position model. The record is from RNAcentral.
GAUGAACGCUGGCGGCGUGCUUAACACAUGCAAGUCGAACGGGAUCCCAGGGGUGCUUGCACUUUUUGGUGAGAGUGGCGAACGGGUGAGUAACACGUGAGUAACCUGUCCUUUUCUUUGGGAUAAGCAUUCGAAAGGGUGUUUAAUACCUUAUGUUCUGUCUGCCUCGCAUGGGGUGGGUGGGAAAGGCUUUGGCCGGAUUUGGGUGGGCUCGCGGUCUAUCAGCUUGUUGGUGGGGUGAUGGCUUACCAAGGCUUUGACGGGUAGCCGGCCUGAGAGGGUGGUCGGUCACAUUGGGACUGAGAUACGGCCCAGACUCCUGCGGGAAGCAGCAGUGGGGGAUAUUGCACAAUGGGCGAAAGCCUGAUGCAGCGACGCCGCGUGGGGGAUGAAGGCCUGCGGGUUGUAAACUUCUUUUGCUCUGAACAAGGCAUGCCAGUGGGUGUGUUGAGUGUAGGGGUUGAUUAGCGCCGGCUAACUACGUG